Long non-coding RNA from Solanum lycopersicum (tomato), 805 nucleotides. RefSeq lists it as uncharacterized. Lineage: Eukaryota; Viridiplantae; Streptophyta; Magnoliopsida; Solanales; Solanaceae. The record is from RefSeq and is a predicted model, not a curated record.
AAAAGACCAAAUUUUGAAAUUUUGAAUUUCAAAAUUCAAAAAAUUUGAAAUUUAAAAAAGUAAAAAUUUCAGGAAGCAGGACAACUUCUCUUAACUUCUACCGUUUUGUUCUCCAUCAAGUUUCAGUUCUUUUUGCAUGAUCCUAUGAAUCUUCAGAUGGAUUCAAACAAAGACUCUGGCUGUAAGAAGCUCAAUUAAUAGUCUCUUCGGCUGCUUUUCGUAAAGUUAACAUUUCCUUUUUGUUCUAUGUUAAGAUGUAAUCUGGAUUUGAUAAUAUUUCAUUCUUUUACAGAUCUGUACAAACUUGUCGUGCUAAACUUGGAAGGGUCUGUUGUUACUGCGUCAUGUUUGGAUUACCUCACAGCUCUCACUUCAUUGAAGUCGCUAAAAUGUCAAUAGAUCUCACCUUUUAGACGAUGGAUGUGAGAAGUUUUUGGCCAAUGAAGUACAAGAUUAAAAAGAUACCAAGACAUCCCAUAAUGUUUGCUGUCAAUUUUAACAACAAUUUCCUAAAGGAAAAGAAUGUGCUCAGAUUCCAGGGGGGAGGAGUAUCUUCAGCAGACUGAUUAUGCAAGGAAACUGUACUGCAUAUAAACACCAGAGGCAGAAGCAUCUCCAGCUUCCAAAGACCUUUACUUGCUUCAAAUUCAUACCCUUAGGUCUUGUAAUUAGAGAAGUUGUUGUAUUGUCUUUUUAUUCACUAUGUAAGAUUGUUUCUCGUGUUUUGUAGUUGUAGCAUGUAUAGACUUUUUGUAAUUGAUAAGAGUGUAGAUAAUUAUCAUCUAUUUGUUUUGUAUUGAACACU